Molecule: long non-coding RNA, 599 nt
Organism: Manduca sexta (tobacco hornworm)
Lineage: Eukaryota; Metazoa; Arthropoda; Insecta; Lepidoptera; Sphingidae
Exons: 4
Source: RefSeq, a predicted model, not a curated record
AGUUUUUUACUUCUAAUUUCAUAGUUAAUCAGUAUUUCUUAAAAUUAAAAUAUAAUGCUUUUUCCAGGUGUCGAACUCCACGGCUCCGGGCUAUGAGGUGACAAGACUGCUCAGACAACUAUGCAGUGGAGAUGGUGUUCCUGGAAGAAAUGAAAGAGUUACCGGCCCCAAGAACGCUCAGCUGCUCUGCAUCAAUGGAGGAAGUCCUCGGCAACCGAGCACUCCACAACUUUUACGGAUUCUAGAAGAAACAAUACAGAAGAAAGUACCAAAGCAGCUGUUCCAGAAUCAGUCUGAACUGAAUAAGGAUAAGUACCGACUGACGUUCAACAUACCAGAGACGACAAAACAGAACCUGUUCCAAUACAGGACGAAGUUUGUACAGCAUAUGCUGACAAGCCCAAUGUACGCGAACAGCGCUGUCGGGAAACCGUGGGAGAUAAUUGGCAGCAUUUCAGAGAGAAUAAUCGACGAACUUCUACUGUCUGUGGCGAAAGAGAUGGAGAUAGGUAGAGUGACACAAGAGUUGUAUAGGGCGGAGACACGAUGAGUUUUAGAAAUGAUUUUCAUUGCGUAUAUUUUUCUAGUUGUUUGUUGUU